GUAGUAUUUUAGGUGUCAAUCCA
RNAcentral lists this non-coding RNA (23 nucleotides) under Arabidopsis thaliana (thale cress). Lineage: Eukaryota; Viridiplantae; Streptophyta; Magnoliopsida; Brassicales; Brassicaceae. The record is from RNAcentral.